AGCAGUGUUCUUAAAAGUUGGCAAACCUGUUUUACUUGUUUCUCAACCUUUGCAGAUCAUUGCUUAUGAAACACUGGUAUUUACAGUAAAUAUCUUGUUUUAGAUGUAGGCCAGCCCCAUCCAACCGUUUGUCCUUCAACAACUUCGCCCUUUGGUAAGUUGGCACGUGGUUUGAGGUGGCCUUUGGUGAUGGAGUGUCUAAAGGGAAAAGCUAAAGGGAAAGGCAUGAAGAGAGUAACAUUUCCAGGAGCACGUGAUCAUACCAGGGAUGGACGAGCCCUUGAGAGGAGAAAGGAUUAUCUCUUGUCUGUGUUAUGUGACCUUUGGCUAAUUCCUGCAGCAUCCUGACUUCAUAGCCUUUUGUGUAAAUGAGAAGAUUUGGAUGUUAUACACCCCUUUAUCCCUGUGACUGCAUCCGGUGAUCUGUUUUACUGUGCAUGUGUGUAUGUCAGUAGCUCACAGUGUUAAUAUUUAGCAGAUUGAGUCCUAGAUUAAACCAUCUGAAU
RNAcentral lists this long non-coding RNA (506 nucleotides) under Bos taurus (domestic cattle). RNAcentral's name for it is "long non-coding RNA NONBTAT005936". The record is from RNAcentral. Lineage: Eukaryota; Metazoa; Chordata; Mammalia; Artiodactyla; Bovidae.